Molecule: unclassified non-coding RNA, 421 nt
Filed under: fungal sp.
Lineage: Eukaryota; Fungi
Description: partial internal transcribed spacer region
Rfam family: Eukaryotic small subunit ribosomal RNA (bases 1-46)
Source: RNAcentral
AAGUCGUAACAAGGUUUCCGUAGGUGAACCUGCGGAAGGAUCAUUAACACGUAUCCAAACGUUAAAACCCCCCCCGUGAACAUUCAUCCUGCUCUUGUAACCCGCGAAGCUUGCAAUCUCUGGUAAAUCAUAGCCCGGAAAGUAGUUUUGAUUCAGAGACCUCUGGCCCGUGAGAUUCUUUGAGACGUUACAAUUUUGAGCGGUAGUUCUAUAGGCCUUGUUUCCCCAAGCAGUCAGUGUCUGAAAGUGUCAUUGAUUGUGCAAGGAUAACGCUUCACGAUUCUUGUAGACCGCAUCUCGCGGGCAGGAGCAGUUGUUCGGUUUUUUUACCCAAUGUAUUACAUUGAGCUUCACAUUAAACUGUGGGGUUGUAAGGGGGCAUGGGGACCCUUUGGUGUUAACAAUGGAUAUCUUGGUUCUC